UUGGAAACGUUGAUAGGGAGUAGUAGGCGGUAAGCCCUUCAGAGAGUGGAACUGGUAGCGCUGAAAGGUUCCAUAGGAAGCAACCGAACGAAGUCGCCCUGGAGUUGUGAAUGUGAUUGUAUGCGCCCGUUUAUGCGGUGAGCAGCAUUAGCAUUCGCCGGCCGCAGCCGUUAUCUGUUUGAGAGCCACGCGCUUCUUUUGAAGCUGCGCGGAAUGAAGGUGGUACCACGGAAGCAAGCCUUUCGUCCUUUGC
RNAcentral lists this non-coding RNA (253 nucleotides) under Paenibacillus sp. RNAcentral describes it as "T-box sequence". It matches the Rfam family "T-box leader". From Rfam's summary of the family: Uncharged tRNA acts as the effector for transcription antitermination of genes in the T-box leader family. T-boxes are found upstream of many aminoacyl-tRNA synthetase genes and some amino acid biosynthetic genes usually in Gram-positive bacteria. Lineage: Bacteria; Bacillati; Bacillota; Bacilli; Caryophanales; Paenibacillaceae. The record is from RNAcentral.